AAUCCAUAGGUUAAUGAGGCGAACCGGGGGAACUGAAACAUCUAAGUACCCCGAGGAAAAGAAAUCAACCGAGAUUCCCCCAGUAGCGGCGAGCGAACGGGGAGGAGCCCAGAGCCUGAAUCAGCAUGUGUGUUAGUGGAAGCGUCUGGAAAGGCGCGCGAUACAGGGUGACAGCCCCGUACACAAAAGCGCAUGUGCUGUGAGCUCGAUGAGUAGGGCGGGACACGUGGUAUCCUGUCUGAAUAUGGGGGGACCAUCCUCCAAGGCUAAAUACUCCUGACUGACCGAUAGUGAACCAGUACCGUGAGGGAAAGGCGAAAAGAACCCCGGCGAGGGGAGUGAAAAAGAACCUGAAACCGUGUACGUACAAGCAGUGGGAGCCCCACCACCAAAGCAUUUGCUGUACCGCGUUGACGGAGCGAAGCGACGUCAAACCGAUAAAACAGCAGUGUAAAGUGA
This 459-nucleotide ribosomal RNA is filed under the name Salmonella enterica subsp. enterica serovar Enteritidis. Its description in RNAcentral is "partial 23S ribosomal RNA". It matches the Rfam family "Bacterial large subunit ribosomal RNA", at positions 161 to 587 of the family's 2925-position model. Lineage: Bacteria; Pseudomonadati; Pseudomonadota; Gammaproteobacteria; Enterobacterales; Enterobacteriaceae. The record is from RNAcentral.